AUUGGGUAGUAGGUGUAAGAGCUGUGCUCACCUGUAAGCCAGAGGAUCGCAAACUCAAGGGUUCAGUCAGCAGACAAUGAAAGAUGUCCAUCUGUUUGAAAACAAGAGGAACAAACAGUUUGGCUAAGAAACACAGAGAGAAUCUUCCGCAGAGAAACUCCUCAAUAGCGUCAUGCGAAAGUUCUGAGUCUAAAUGUCAUUGUUUUUAUAGUACACCACAGUUGAAUGGUUUUGUCCAUCUGAAAUUACUUCUUAUCAUAGAAUUCGCCCUGCGAAGCAGUAAGGAAACCAGCACAUCCACGACUGUGAACUCAGAGUUGCCCUGAAGGGCACCUCACUACAUCCAUGACUGUGAACUCAGAGUUGUUCCGAAGGCACCCCGAUAAGCGUCUUCAUUUUGUGAUUCUAAGCGGAAGCAAAAGACCACACUAAUCUCCCCAGGUGUAUCGUGGAGAGGCGACAGGCGCCACAUCACCUGGCGAGCAUGAUGCAUUGCUGCAAGCACACGGAGGCUGUCUUAGUGAACAUGGCUGGCUGACUGGCAUGCUUUGGAAUGCUGGCAGAAAUCAGGGGAAAAGUCUUGAGAACCGCUUAGGUUGCUGUUCCCAGGAAGUGCUCUUGGAGGACCAAUGAGGUAUCAGUGUGCAAAGAAGCCUGCUACCAAGCCUGUCAACCUGAAUUUGUUCCUG
This is a long non-coding RNA of Microtus oregoni (creeping vole), 689 nucleotides long. RefSeq lists it as uncharacterized. The transcript is spliced from 3 exons. NCBI's taxonomy places the organism in Eukaryota, Metazoa, Chordata, Mammalia, Rodentia, Cricetidae. The record is from RefSeq and is a predicted model, not a curated record.